Molecule: long non-coding RNA, 6638 nt
Filed under: Sus scrofa (pig)
Lineage: Eukaryota; Metazoa; Chordata; Mammalia; Artiodactyla; Suidae
Description: lncRNA (ENSSSCG00015072584.1)
Source: RNAcentral
UUUUUUUUUUUUUUUUUGGCUAUACCUGAGGCAUGUGGGAGUUCUCAGUCCAGAGACUGAACCUGCACCACAGCCAUGACAACACUGGGUCCUUAACCCACUGCACCACCAGGGAGCUCCCAGCCUAUUUACUUCCCUGUGUCCUGGUUUUUCUGUAGUGAACCCGGUUUUUAAAAACGGGGGACCCUCAAAGAGACUUGCCUGCAUGAGGCUGGUACAACCAACAGGAGCACAGGGCACCCUGCUGACCAGAUGAGGGAGCUGAAGGAACUGGGGUGCCCCUGCUGGACCCCAAAUGCUCUCCCGUAACCCCAGCCUUUCCCGUGACCAGGGUCCCCACAGGCAGGUCUGCCCUCUGUCCCCUCCCUCCCUGGGCCAGGCGCCACCUGCAUGCCACUGUCACACUGCUCCUGGCAUCCAGGGAUACCCCCACCCUCUCUGAGCCUUCCCUCCCCGCCUUCAAAGCCUGGCACCUGCUGCCGAGGCCCCACCAGAGGCCUGCAACGCCCCACAGACAACCCCUCGGCCCCGGGGGGGUCCCCCAAAGCCAGCAUCCCUGCCGUGGUGUCAGCCGUGGGCUCUGGAGCAGCUUUGAGCAGGAAAGCUGCUCUGCUGAUGUCAGGUCACUUAAAAUAGAAUUCCAAAUGAGCAGCUUUGUUAGGGGAGUCUAAAAUUAGCAUUCCUCCUCAGCAGGCGAGCCCUGGCGGGCUGGGGAGGGGUGGUGGGGGCUGCGGGACCACAGGCAGCCCAGCUGGGGGGACAGCCCCCUCGCACCUGGGAUGCAGAAGGACAAAGGCCAAAUGCGGGGGACCCAGAGACCCCGCACAGGUCACCGUCGUCGGGGGCCCACACCCACCUCUGUGGCCUCACGCCCCUCACAGGCUCAGCGUCACUCCAGGGCAGGGCUGGCCCGGCCUCCCCCACACAGGUGUUCUGCAGAGGCUAGGCAGGUGCCACUGUGACCAUGGAGGCCCCAGGGGUGGGGGGGCCUCGAGAUGGCCCUGGUAACCUCAGGAAGCUGAGAAGCAGGAGCACUGACGCCCCCCCACUCCCCCCCCCUUUAGAGAGGUAUUUAUUAACUUCUGUGCUCCCGGCCAUCACUGAGCUCUUGUCUGCAUUAUCAGCUCAUGUAAAUUCAUUAUCCUAACAGCUGGGAACAGGCUUGGCCGGGAGGAGGGCCCGUGAUGGAUGAGGCCUGGGGGGCUGGGGCGGCGACACGGCUCCCUCUCUGUGGCACCAGCCCCCACACGCGGAGCUCAGGUGGCCUCCUGGGCACCACACGUGCUCAGUCCUGGACAGGCGCCUCCUGCCACCACCAUCGCCUGCCUGCUCGACCCCCCAGCAGAAAACAGCAGCCACAGCCAGACACGGGGAGGCGGGAGCCCCUGCCCUGUGCCCGAGGCCGAGGGCAGGGGGAGAGGGAACGCUGCCAGGCCAACGGUACCCACAAACCAACCUGGCCCCUCGUCACACGGAUGCCCACAGUCUAAGAAGCAAUGACCUCUGGCCCCAGGACGGCCCAGGGAGGCCCUCGCCUUAACUGUCCAUCUACCAAAGUCUGGUGUCCUUCCUGAAUCCUGGGUUCUCUUCCCUGCCCAGGCCUCUCACGGCCAGCAGCAGCACAAAGCUUAUAUAAAAAAAAAAAAAGCGAAGACGACAAAUCCACUCCGAAGGGCGCGCCGGGCUGGAGGCACGGCGGACGCUUUUCCAGAACCCGCCCCGUCCGGGGUUCUUCUGAACAGACCCCGAUCGAUCGGGUCCCCGCUGGCCAAACGCUCCGAACAGCAGGACUUAAGAGGGGGGGCCGGCCGCGCUCCCCCCUCGGCGGCCGGCGGAGGGCGUUAUUAAUCAGCACGCCGCGGCCUCCCUCCAGCCUCCCGCGGAUCCCGUAAUUACGGCUUCCUUUCAUCCCGCUCUUCCGCGGCUCCAGACCUCAGGCCCGCUCCCUCCAUGCUCUGUAAUUACAAGCUAAUAGCUGAGAUGAAUUUUCUGCUGGCUCCCGGUUCAAGCACCAAUCCGCCCCUUCCCCUGACAGCCCCCCUCCCCCCCGGGUAAUUACACCCCACGAGGCCGGGCCCAGCAGGGCCUCACUUUCAGGCCGGCGUGUGCAAUCUGGACUUGCAUUCUCUAAUCACCCCUCUUGGUAAUUUUUCAUUACCGCAGAAAGAAAUGUUUGUGAACAAAUACAGGGCGUCCCCCGGCUCGGGGCCUCCGCGCCGCCGCCCCCCGAAAGGGGCGAUGCUCCGGCAGCCCUAACAAGGCCGGGGUCACCCGAGCAGAGACCCGGGCAGGCGGCGGCGGUGCGGGGCGCCACGUGAUCCCCGGAGCCGGAGCGGCCUCAUAAUAAAUUCAUAAUUAUAUUUGCCUCCGGCGUGUUCUGAGCUCACUUGCACGAAGCCGUCUUUCUCGGGGGUGGGGGCGGGGCGAGUCGGGAAGGUCUUUGCUCCGGGAUGCCCGGGGUGGCCUGCUUUAGGCCUGGGUGUUCUCUUUCAAGGAAGGUGACACCCCCUCGGGCUGUAGCUUUCUAAGGGGAUGGGGGCCUUUGCUUGCCCCCAGAGAGACCCAGACCUGGAUGUAUCCCCAAGGCCCAGGCCCCAGGGACCAGCAAGCCGAGCCAAGGCCAUUGCUAAUUGCUGGCGCUGGGGACGGCCCGAGCAGAUGGCCUGGAUCCUGACCCGGAACCAGAGAGAAGGACCAAGGGGGAGAGGGGGGAGGGAGGGAGGCAGCCUGUGUGUCCGGAGGAGACCCCGGCCCAGGAGUAACACGAGGAACAAGGCUGCCAUCCCGCCCCGGGCAGCCUGUCACUCAGCGGCAUUCGUUAAAUUGCUUGCGAAGGCGCAAGGCAGGAGCUUACAAGCUGCAGAAAGCCUCCGCCAGGACCCCUGUCAGUGAGAACAGAAGCCCACCCCAGAGCCAGCACCGCUCAUGUCUGGGGUCACUGGGCAGCCACGGAGAUCGGGCUCAGCAGCUGCAGCCAAGUGGGGACGAUGAGGGGCUGGUGACAUUUAGGGGCCUCGCCAGCCCUGCGUGCUGUCAGGUUAGGGACCGGGGGGGGGGCGUGUGUUAGGGACUGUGUGUGUGCGCGCGCGCGCGCGCGUCAGGAGGGUGAAUCCAGGCUCCAGGAUGAAGCAUGUUCAGGAGACACCCCUAGACGCAUGUGACACUCAGAUCGUGUGCCAGGAAAACCCGGGCAGAGCUCCCCAGUGGGCAGAACCUGCGGGGCCGAGGCCGCAGCUGCUCAUGGGCAGGGCUCCCGCAUGGAGAGCUCAGCGGUGGGGAUCGGGGCAGACAGAAGCCUCCAAGGACAAUCCAGGGGUUGGGGUUCAAGGCCACAGACGACUGGGAGACCCGGACAUGCCGGUGGAGGCAAAGGACGAAGUCAGGCAACAGAUGGUCGUGACAUUUGACGGCGAUUAUUCUAAGCGGGUGCUGCGUCUGGAGAAGCCCGGGACGGGCAGAUGAAGGGCUGGCAGCAGCCAGGGGGUGGCGGGGCCGGCCCGGGAGGGGUGUGGAGUGGGAGAGGCAGAAACCCAGUGCACAAUUCAGACAAAAAAGGCUGAGAGACAGGAUCAGGGCGGAGCCCAGGACCCUCGGAGGUGGUCCUGAACCACAGUGUCAGCAGUAACAGUCACAGCGCCUGGCCCUGCCCAGUGCGGCUCGGUCACCCUUCACGAUAAUCCAGGACCAGACCCCAAGCAGAGAGGUCAGCCAAGGGCCUCCUACACGGCCCAGCCCCUACCCCCACUCCACAGAUGGGUAAACCGAGGCUGGAACAGAGUCACACUGAGCCUGGGGUGGCAUGCUGAGAUGCCGAGGAGCCGGGCACGCGUGACCCCGGUUUUCCGAGCUGCUCUAUGGACAAUUUCCCUUUAAACGACAAAAUGCUGGACACAACCCCUCUUAGGGGUCCCCUCCUCUCCUGCAGGCCGCCGCAAGCACCCGCCACACGCUGCACCACCUUCCAGAUGAUCUGGGACGGGCCCCCCACCCCCGAAUCCCACAUUCCAACAGCUCUGGGCUGGAGGGUGCCCAGGCCACAACCCCGGGAGCGACCCCUUUAUGUGCCCGAGGCCCCUGAGCCCACCAGGCCACCCAGCCCCACCUCGCCCACGAAGCAGCCCUUUGAGUAGGGCCUGGAGGCCCGGGGUGCAGGACGUGGGUGGGGGUCCGAGGUGUCCGGGACAGAGGUCCCGAAGGACAGGAACCCGACCUGGCGAGGAGGCAGCCACUAAAUGCCUCCAAGUUUCCAUGGAGCGGGAGGCCAGGGCCAGCAGGCAGGAAGAGAGGCCAGGGGGGCAGGGGUCAAGGGCAGGUCCUUUCUCCGAAGGGAGGAAGCCUGCAUGGGAGACCAGACUUUGAGGGGCAGGGAGAAGAGGAAGCAAAGGCCCCCGCUGGACGGGGCUUGACCAACCUGGGCCCAGGAAUGCAGGCAUUUCAAUGGCUUCCGCCCGACCCCUCGGGUGAACAGAGGUUCCAGAGACUGUCAGAGCACCUGUCCCUUCAGUCCUGAGACGGUGCUGACAAGAGUCUGUGCAGAGCGGGCACCUUCACCUGCAUCCCCAGCCCCCAGGGCACUGAGGAGGUCCUCAGCCUGCAGAACAAGUACAGACACCAGCUGCAUCUUGGCAGGUGCAGAGCCAGCCAGACUGCACCCUGCUCUGGCGGACUGGGAACUUGAGAGUCCACGUGGCAGGACCACCAGGGCUUACGCCAAGGAACUGCAUCCUUGGUAGGGAAACAGCUGGAAGAUGGGGAUGCUGGCCUGGCCCCCCCCAAGCUUCCAGUGGGGUCCUGUCAGGUCACCAUGUGGUCUGAGCCUCAGUUUCCCCAUCAGCACCCCCGGGAGGGGUGGGGUUCUAAGUAGCCCCCUUUCAUCCGUCAACCUGUUUUGGUUUUCGUUUUUGGUUUCUUUAGGUCCACACCCACGGCAUAUGGAGGUUCCCAGGCUAGGGGUCGAAUCACAGCUGUAGCCACCGGCCUACACCAUAGCUCACGACAAUGCCAGAUCCUCAACCCACUGAGUGAGGCCAGGGAUCGAAUCCGCUGCUAGUCGGGUUUGUUAACUGCUGAGCCACGACAGGAAUUCCUGUUUUUUUUUUUUUUUUUUUCAAUGGCCACACUCACAGCAUAUGGAAGUUCCCAGGCCACGAACUGAACCCCCGCCUCCGCAGUGACCCGAGCUGCCUCAGCAGGAUUCUUAACCCAAACUGCACGACGGCGAGAACUCACCAACCUGCUUUUACUGGGCCUGCAGUUGCGAUAUCUUUAUUUAUCUAUUUACAUUAAAAUAUGCUGCACCUGCAGCCUAUGGAGAUUCCCAGGCUAGUGGCUGAAUCAGAGCUGCAGCUGCCGGCCUCUGCCACAGCCACAGCCACACCAAAUCUGAGCCACAGCUGCGACCAACACCACAGCUCACCACAAUGUCGCAUCUUUAACCCACCGAGGGAAGUGAGAGAUCGAACCCACGUCCUCGUGGAUACCAGUCGGAUUUGUAACCCGCUGAGCCACACCGGGAACUCCGAGAUAUGUUUAAAAGUGAAUCCAUGGACAGUGUCUUAGAAUGGGAGGUUUCAAGUCAAAAUGAAGAUUUCUAGUUUCUCUUGAAAAAUCAGGAGCCACCAAACCCAAGAGUGGCAACUGUCCCUUAGUCUGUCCAGCUCAGCAGCAUCCCCACCCCUCCCUACCGUCUCAGGCUGGUCAGCCUGCGCGAUGCCCGGAGACCUCGCCAGCUCUGAAACGAUGCGGGUUUGGGCGACAAACAGCGUCUACGGGGGCUUAAUAAAUGUAUGCGACCAGGACACUCGGCUCGGGUGUCAGCAAACAUCUUCGUUUAUCCAGCUUCAACAGAGACAGGUGGACCCUCCCCCUUCAGCUUGGGGGUGAGGGGCAGCCAGGAGGGAGGCCCCGAUACACGGCGGGUGGGCCCCACUCGAGUCAAAGGCAAGACUUGCCUCGAAUUAUAAAAUGGUUUUCGCUUCUGCAAAAAAGGCCCAUUCUCAUGAUGGUUCAAAGUCACAGACCAGACCGUCUCUCCAAGGAAACACACGCACUGAAUUGUGCAUGGAGUUGGACCAAGCUCACAAAAGCCUACCUGUAAACCCCGUGGAUCCAGAUGCGGGUACAGAGGUACGUGGCGUCUACAGACCCUGCAGCACACAACCCUCUAUAAAGCCAAGCCCGGGCACUGACACACCUCCCCAGCACUUCCAUCCGGGCCAAGAGGCUAUGGAGGAGCAAAGAUACGAAGCUCUUAUGGAGUUUCCAUGGUCUAAAUUCUUUUUUUUUUUUAAGUCUUUGGGGCCACACGUGUGGCACAUGGACGUUCCCGGGGCUGGGGUCAAAUCGGACCUGCAGCUACUGGCCUACACCACAGCCACAGAAACUCAGGAUCCGAGCCUCGUCUGUGACCUACACUGCAGCUCAAAGCAGCACCAGAUCCUUAACCCACUGAGCGACACCAGGGAUUGAACCCACAUCCUCAUGGAUACUACUCAGGUUUGGAACCCGCUGGGCCACAAGGGGGACUCCUCCAAGAUCUAAGUUCUAAUGGUAUUUCCUCACUCAGGCUCCUCUACCAUCUUCAAAGCCCUAUGUACCAUGCCCAAACAUCAAUCACUGCCCCACUUAACAAAAAACAA